This 117-nucleotide non-coding RNA is filed under the name Nomascus leucogenys (northern white-cheeked gibbon). The record is from Rfam by way of RNAcentral. Lineage: Eukaryota; Metazoa; Chordata; Mammalia; Primates; Hylobatidae.
GCUGGGCAUGGUGGCUCAUGCCUGUAAUCCCAGCACUUUGGGAGGCCGAGGUGGGCGGAUCACCUGAGGUCAGGAGUUUGAGACCAGCCUGGCCAACAUGGUGAAACCCCAUCUUUA